UAGUAAUCCAAUUCCUUAAUAACUUACUGGGUAAUAUUAAUUCGUUAUUGUUUGCAACAGGUUGGAGAUGGGGAUGAUGACAGACCAGCCAGCCGAACUCAAAUUGGAUUAGACAUCAUGCGCCACCUGGUUGCUGAAGCUCGAGAGGACCUUUAUGGACAAAAAAUCCUGUUCAAGAUAGUUCUGUCUGGAAUUCCAUACCACCUCCAGAAAAUGGAAAAUGUCUUCAAAUUCUGAUGUCCCAGCAGCCUGAAGUGGUCAAACAAUUUGAAACUGGAUGCAGCACAGAAUCCCAUAUUUUAAGAGAAUGCAGAUGUUAGUCACCCCUGUCCAACUUGUUUGUGUGAAUAAUACAAAAUGUGACAUUUACAGCAAAUAUGUAAUAAUUGAGCAACGUAUAGACAGUUGCAAAACUCUGUUCUGUUAAUUUUGUGCCAUAUUUAGCAUUUAAAACCAGAUACUUUCAGUUUUUGCCGGUUUGUUCGGUUUCUUUUAUUCAUGAUUUUUUCAAGAAGACACCAGUUCGGUGUAUAAUAGUUAUGGUGUUUUAACUGUCAAUGAAUCCAAGAUCACUGUAUGUUGUUGAACUAAUAUAUAUGUUAAACAUUGAAGAUCCAGCUGUCAGUUGUGCUUUUGAGAACACUGAAUUUUAUCAACAUAAUUUGACACUGUACAUAUUGCAAGCAUUUUUUCAAAUCUAUAUAAAUUAAUAGUAGAUAACUGUAGCCUUAUUUUGUGCAUAUUAACAUAUGUGAAUAGUUGAAUAGCCUCAUGAUGUCAUUCUGUAUAAAUUAUAUAAUAUAAUCAUUUUAAUUGUUUCAAUUGUUUUCAUAUAUAAAUGGUUUUGGUACUGAAAUUUGGUCUUGCUCUAUUG
This is a long non-coding RNA of Mya arenaria, 874 nucleotides long. RefSeq lists it as uncharacterized. Lineage: Eukaryota; Metazoa; Mollusca; Bivalvia; Myida; Myidae. The record is from RefSeq and is a predicted model, not a curated record. The transcript has 3 exons.